Tigriopus californicus is the source of this 1468-nucleotide long non-coding RNA. RefSeq lists it as uncharacterized. Lineage: Eukaryota; Metazoa; Arthropoda; Copepoda; Harpacticoida; Harpacticidae. The transcript is spliced from 3 exons. The record is from RefSeq and is a predicted model, not a curated record.
CAGUCCUUGACAAGAAUCCCAUUAUCUCAAUUUACCACCCGUACGUGACACCGGGGAUCUUCAGGUUUCAUUGCUUUGUGAAAGUGUUGAUGAAUCUCGUGAUUAAGCCUUACCAGGAAUAAACCUUGCCUUGAACUUGUCCAACUUUCCCAUUCGAGACGACAACGACGACAAAAACCAUUGAGGUUUGGGUACGAACCCACCGUGUCACGAUUUUGGUUGUGGGUGGGUGGUUGUCCGUUGGUAGGCUGAUGAGAGACAUUCCAGCAAAUGUUUGCCAGGAACCUACCCAGGCAAACAACAAUCAUCCACAAAAGGAUUUUUCGAGGUUCUCAACCAUCACCACUACCACCAUCACCACAUGCUUACUUCGUGUCGAGACAUGUCCGUCAAGACGACAAAAAUAUGGUCUAAUGGGUUCCUGACUUGGAGACUUUCGAGACAAAGUGCAUACUUACGCCUCAAAAACUGUGGCCCUGUCAAGUCAGUGGCAACCCGUGGAAGUACCAACUUGACUUGACGGGUAUUAAGGAACAGACCCUUGGACUGCUUGACAUCAGAGUGUAAAAAAUGUGCUUCAAAAAGGUGUGAAGAAGGCAAUUUGAAGGACAAAACCGAACGAGCGUCCGUUGGAUGGAGUCAAACCUCAAAUAACGUUCCAACUUCUGGAGAGAGUGGUGGAAAGUCAGGGGCAAUGUCGUGGAAGAGAAUGCCCCAUAAAACAAGAGCCCGGUGGCAAUAUUGUUAAAAGGAUAAGUCAUGGAAGAAUUCUCGGUGCAGGAAUAUAAACGAGGGGAAUGGAGAAGGGAGCAAACGGUAUAAAUGGUCCCGAGCCACUCUGGAAAGUACUCCCCAAACUCAAAAGCCACAAAAGCCACAGAAGCCCGGCCAGAAAGUCUCCAAACAUUGGGAAAAUAUUCUCCGGUCCAGAGUUAUGGAGCCUUAAAAUUUUCCUUCAUCUUCCCAUCUUCUCCAUCCAUGGAUCCAUGGAGAGACCGCGAUUGUAGUAAAUCUGCCAAUCAAAACUCAUGGCUUGAUGGGCAAAGAAGGGAAGCUUCUUGGACACUGGAGAGUACGGCUUUCAAAGGAAAGAGGACGUCAUCCUCUCUCGAUAUUGGAUCAGGUGAUAAUGGAGUCGUAAAAUCAAGGAUCUUCUCCUCCCUCAGGGCUAAUUGGCAAUCUCAUCCAUUGGCAAGUGGACCUCUUCGAUCGAUGCGGAGGUCCAGAGAUUUCCUUGAACACCCCAGAUUGAUUGACAGCGGAAAUCUACCGAAACCCUGGUCAGAAAAGGACCAUUCGAACAGUUGUUGAAUGGAAAGGAGACUACUAAGUGAUAUACAACGGACGGUAAAUCGACGGUCGAUUCCAAGAGAAAUGGACACAAUUUACCUUUUACGUCGAAUCGACUCUAAGUUCUCGGGAUGGGGGAGACAUGGGUAGGCAAAGGGUCAUAAAAUUUAUAGAGCCU